GUAAAUACUAGUUCCCAUACAAUCAAUGAAGUUAAGCAAUGUCAAGCCUGGUCAGUACCUAGAUGGGUGACCACAAGGGAAUACCAGGUGCUGUAAG
Molecule: ribosomal RNA, 97 nt
Filed under: Acanthosepion pharaonis
Lineage: Eukaryota; Metazoa; Mollusca; Cephalopoda; Sepiida; Sepiidae
Source: RNAcentral